This 500-nucleotide ribosomal RNA is filed under the name uncultured bacterium. RNAcentral describes it as "partial 16S ribosomal RNA". It matches the Rfam family "Bacterial small subunit ribosomal RNA", at positions 28 to 507 of the family's 1533-position model. The record is from RNAcentral.
GACGAACGCUGGCGGCGUGCUUAACACAUGCAAGUCGAACGGGUCUGCCCUGUUUUUUGCGGGGUGGGUCAGUGGUGAACGGGUGAGUAACACGUGAGUAACCUGCCCCUCACUUCUGGAUAACCGCUUGAAAGGGUGGCUAAUACGGGGUGUUCUGGCUGUGCCGCAUGGUGUGGCUGGGAAAGAUUCACUUUUGUGGUGUUUUGGUGGGGGAUGGGCUCGCGGCCUAUCAGCUUGUUGGUGGGGUGAUGGCCUGCCAAGGCUUUGACGGGUAGCCGGCCUGAGAGGGUGGGCGGUCAAACUGGGACGGAGAUACGGCCCAGACUCCGGCGGGAGGCAGCAGUGGGUGGUAUUGGAUGAUGGGCGGAAGGCUGAUGCAGCGACGUCGCGUGAGGGAUGGAGGCCUUCGGGUUGUGAACCUCUUUCGCCGGUGAAGAAGGUCCUGCUCUUUGUGGUGGGGUUGACGGUAGCCGGGUUAUGAAGCGCCGGCUAACUACGUG